GAUUCACCUCUGUGUUCCCCCAGGACUGGGAUUCCUCGGUGGUGAAAGCUGUCAGGCUGAAGAGGAGGGAGAAGAGGCGCUCCUCCAGGCAGUUCACUGAAGGCCCACCAGGCCCUCAGAAGAAAUCCAGAUCCAUCAGCAGCACAGCAGACCAGGCCAACGAAUCCAUAGUUGCAAAGACAACUGUGACGGUGCCCAACGAUGGAGGCCCCAUCGAGGCCGUUUCCACCAUCCAGACCCUGCCCUUCCCUCGCAGGAGCCGCAGGAAGAGCGGUCCUCUGCAGGCCUGGAACAGCGAGUCCAGCGUGGGCA
This is a long non-coding RNA of Neopelma chrysocephalum (saffron-crested tyrant-manakin), 312 nucleotides long. RefSeq lists it as uncharacterized. The transcript has 4 exons. NCBI's taxonomy places the organism in Eukaryota, Metazoa, Chordata, Aves, Passeriformes, Pipridae. The record is from RefSeq and is a predicted model, not a curated record.